Molecule: transfer RNA, 94 nt
Organism: Trametes pubescens
Lineage: Eukaryota; Fungi; Basidiomycota; Agaricomycetes; Polyporales; Polyporaceae
Rfam family: tRNA
About the family: Transfer RNA (tRNA) molecules are approximately 80 nucleotides in length. Their secondary structure includes four short double-helical elements and three loops (D, anti-codon, and T loops). Further hydrogen bonds mediate the characteristic L-shaped molecular structure. tRNAs have two regions of fundamental functional importance: the anti-codon, which is responsible for specific mRNA codon recognition, and the 3' end, to which the tRNAs corresponding amino acid is attached (by aminoacyl-tRNA synthetases). tRNAs cope with the degeneracy of the genetic code in two manners: having more than one tRNA (with a specific anti-codon) for a particular amino acid; and 'wobble' base-pairing, i.e. permitting non-standard base-pairing at the 3rd anti-codon position.
Source: Rfam
GUCGAGAUAGCUCAGUUGGAAAAGCGCCAGGUUGAGAGGUUUCCCACCGACUAUAGAGGUCUGGCGGAGGAGUGUUCGAGUCGCUCUCUUGGCA